RNAcentral lists this long non-coding RNA (3209 nucleotides) under Macaca mulatta (Rhesus monkey). RNAcentral describes it as "lncRNA (ENSMMUG00000062021.1)". The record is from RNAcentral. Lineage: Eukaryota; Metazoa; Chordata; Mammalia; Primates; Cercopithecidae.
AUGGUUCAACACAGAAAUGAUACUGUUGUAGUCGGUUUAGAGUUUCUCUUCUUGCAGAAGGCGCUGUCACUGCCGUAUGGUGCUGCUGUGAAAACAGGAAGAUUACAUGCUGACCUUAUUCACUGCAAUAGUGAUAUCUCUUCUGAUCAGAUGGUAGCUUCUCAGAGUGUACAGGGAAAAGCAAAGUCUCAGCUCCCAGGUAGGGUCACAGAACAAUGGCAGUUCUGCUGGGAUGGUUCAGAAGAGGUUCUUUGCCUGGCCUCAAGUUUUAGUGUCAACAGCGCAUGAAAACAAGCCUCAGGAGAGGAACAAAUGACCGAGAUGCUUCUAGUAAGGACCUUAAUGAGGAUGGAAGUGAAGACAAAAGGGAAGCUAUGAGACUUGAAAUAUGAUGCACCAUUCCACAGUUUUGAAUGUGGUCCUGUGGGAGAAUAAAGACUGUUGUUUAUUUACAUUAAUUUGACAGUCACAGAUUAUUUAAGAGUUCUGAUUGCCUACAUGCUUAAUAUUUGAUAAACACACCCUGAGAUACUUGAGCUAAUUCACCUUCUUACUCCAAGUUUGUGGUAAAAGUUUAUCCUGUAUUUUAGAUAUCCUUAAUAACUGAGAAAGAGUGAUUAUGGCAAGACGUAAUAUUCAGUGCAACUAAUGAUCAAGGAAUUUAAGAAGAGUGUGCUGAUAGAGGUUCUUUACAUUAACUUGUAGCAGUAGCUUUAAGGAAUUGUUAAAGUGACUUCUUUCACAAAUAGGAAAGGAAAGGACAGCACCUAGAGGUCUAAAUGUCAUUUGUUCAUUUGAGAACAAUAUACAAAAAGUAUCAGAAAUCAGUUUCUUUGCAUUAAGAAGUAUAUGUGAUAAGGUGAAAGUAUCAGAUUUGCAUAUUAAAAGCAAUGGCACUCAGUGUCAAAAAGGACUGUGGAUAAGGCAGAAUCUUAUCAAUUACAAUAAAUAGAAUGAAAAAAAGAUGUAAGCAUAACUCCAGGUGGCAUCAAAAUCUACUAGGCUAAGUCUAUAAGUGCAAAUGUGUAUGUUAAUUGCUAAUAUGUCUCACUUAGCUGAAUGAGCCGGUAUGUUCGGAAUCCAAGUCAUUCAGCUCUGCACUACUUCAGUGAAGCUGAAGUGGUUGCAGUGGAAGCACACACUUAGGUCUCCCAGGACAACCAAAAAUACAUGCACUUGCCCAUCAUCUUGAUGUAUUCCUAAAGAAAUAUAAACCCUAUUUAAAACAGCUCUUAGGUCUAAUGAAAAUCUAUGAUAUAUAUAUUCAGAUAUAUGUAAGGCUACAUUUUUCAGCCCAGCACCUUUUCCCAACAUAAAUUCCUAAAGAUUUUAACUGCAUUCCUUUUUCAGCAUAGAAGAGUUAUGUUGUUAACUACUGGCAUGGGAAGAGUGAUUUUUCAGGAGGGAGUAGGGAGUGAGAUAGUGCAAGGUGAAAGAAGGCAUAUUAGAAUUACCAAGGGAGAAUUUUCAAACUACCUCACAUCCCCACUUCCUGACUUUGGGAGUCUGAUGUGUGCCUCAGGAGUCUUAGGACCUAGUGGGGUGUGCAGAGGGGGAUGCAGCUUGUUGGAGCCUCUCUGAUCCAGUUCUGUUCCCACACAUUCCCUCAUGUAGAAUUCCCGAAGUGAAGGAAAAAACACUUCUUCUCUGAAAGAUUAUUUAAAGGCGGACUCCUGAGGGAACAAAUAAAACAAAGUAAUCAGCGGAACAGUCUCAGUGUUCCUGACUGAGAUUGAACCAAAUGUUCCUGAGCAUUCUUCUUCACACCUUUAUUAUCUUAGGAAAAAACAAGCUGUUCCAACUUUCUCACUUGACUGUCACAUUCUAGGUAACAGAAUGUCUCAGAAUGCUCAAUGGUACUGGAGGGAUUAUGCUGAAUGCCCCUUACUGAGGGCUUCAUCAAGUAUUAAUGCAAAUAAAAAAUUUAAUAUUAUUAUCUAAAUAUAAUGCCCUAAAUCUCACCCCCAGGGUUUCUCUUCUUCAGAUAAUUUUACUUAUUCAUGGAAAUAAGUUAAUACAUGCCUAUGGUACACUUUAUAGUAUCAACCUUUGUCAGAAAUAUUUAAUUAAUUGUAUUUCAUUCAAUUGUGUAAUUUGACUCCCAGGCCUCAGUAUUGAUUCAACCCCAAAAAUAUUUUGAAUUAUACCUUUCCUCAAGAAACAAUAGAGGAAGCAACUUAAGUUUCUAUCCACACAGUGGAGAAAAUGUGGUACAUAUACACAGUGGAGUAUUACUCAGCCAUAAUAGCAGAAUGAGAUCCUGUCAUCUGCAACAACAUGGAUGGAAAUGGAGGACAAUAUGUUAAGUGAAAGAAGUCAGGUGCUGAAGACAACGUUCACAUGUCCUCAUUCAUUUGUGGGAACUAAAAAUGAAAACAAUUUAACUCAUGGAGAUAGAGAGUAGAAUGAUGGUUACCAGAGGCUGGGAAGGGUAGUGGGGGAUGGUGUGGAAGGAAAGAGUGGAUUGUUAACGGGACAAAAAUAUAGUUAGAGAGAAUAAAUAAGAUCUACUAUUUAAAGCCUGAGCAUGGUGGCUCACACUUGUGAUUCCAGUGCUUUGGAAAGCCAAGGAGGGAGGAUCGAUUGAGGUCAGGAGUUUGAUACCUAUGCCUAGGCAACAUAGCAAGUCACAUAUCUACAAAACAAACUUUAAAAAUUAGCCAGGAGUGGUGACAUGUGCCUGUAGUCCCAGCUACUCAGGAGGCUGUGGCAGGAGGAUUUUUCGAGCCCAGGACCUAGAGGGUGCAGUAAGCCAUAUUCCUGUCACUGCCCUCUAGCCUGAGUGACAGAGCAAGACCCUUUCUCUGAAAAAAUUAAAAAUCAAUCAAUCCAUCAAUAAACCUAGUAUUUGAUUGCACAAUAGGGUGACUACAGUUGAAAGUAACUUAUUGUACAUUUUAAAAUGCUAAAAGAAUACAACUAGAUUGUUUAUAACACAGAAAAGGUCAAAUGCUUGAGGUAAUGGAUAUCCCAUUAACCCUUAUGUGAUGAUUACACAUUACAUACCGCUAUCAAAAUAUCUCAUGUACUUCAUAAAUAUUUAUACCUACUAUGUAUCCAUAAAAAUAAUAAUUUUUGUAAAGAAACAAUAGCGCCCAGGCUGCCGUCUAGAGUGAAUCAUAGAUACAGGAUCUAGGAAAUGACCUAACUAUAAAUAAAUAUAUACAUACACAUAAAUACUAAUCUUUUUAGAUAUAUAAAGAAAUAUG